RNAcentral lists this transfer RNA (69 nucleotides) under Minous monodactylus (grey stingfish). Its description in RNAcentral is "tRNA-His". It matches the Rfam family "tRNA". From Rfam's summary of the family: Transfer RNA (tRNA) molecules are approximately 80 nucleotides in length. Their secondary structure includes four short double-helical elements and three loops (D, anti-codon, and T loops). Lineage: Eukaryota; Metazoa; Chordata; Actinopteri; Perciformes; Synanceiidae. The record is from RNAcentral.
GUAGGUAUAGUUUAACAAAAGCCUUAGAUUGUGAUUCUAAAGACAGAGGUUAGAAUCCUCUUACCCACC